This 676-nucleotide ribosomal RNA is filed under the name uncultured Lachnospiraceae bacterium. Its description in RNAcentral is "bacterial SSU rRNA". It matches the Rfam family "Bacterial small subunit ribosomal RNA", at positions 62 to 738 of the family's 1533-position model. The record is from RNAcentral. Lineage: Bacteria; Bacillati; Bacillota; Clostridia; Lachnospirales; Lachnospiraceae.
UCGAACGGGAAAUAUUUUAUUGAAACUUCGGUCGAUUUAAUUUAUUUCUAGUGGCGGACGGGUGAGUAACGCGUGGGUAACCUGCCUUAUACUGGGGGAUAACAGCCAGAAAUGACUGCUAAUACCGCAUAAGCGCACAGAACCGCAUGGUUCCGUGUGAAAAACUCCGGUGGUAUAAGAUGGACCCGCGUUGGAUUAGCUAGUUGGGCAGGGCAGCGGCCUACCAAGGCGACGAUCCAUAGCCGGCCUGAGAGGGUGAACGGCCACAUUGGGACUGAGACACGGCCCAGACUCCUACGGGAGGCAGCAGUGGGGAAUAUUGCACAAUGGGGGAAACCCUGAUGCAGCGACGCCGCGUGAAGGAAGAAGUAUCUCGGUAUGUAAACUUCUAUCAGCAGGGAAGAUAACGACGGUACCUGACUAAGAAGCCCCGGCUAACUACGUGCCAGCAGCCGCGGUAAUACGUAGGGGGCAAGCGUUAUCCGGAUUUACUGGGUGUAAAGGGAGCGUAGACGGCGCAGCAAGUCUGAUGUGAAAGGCAGGGGCUUAACCCCUGGACUGCAUUGGAAACUGCUGUGCUCGAGUGCCGGAGGGGUAAGCGGAAUUCCUAGUGUAGCGGUGAAAUGCGUAGAUAUUAGGAGGAACACCAGUGGCGAAGGCGGCUUACUGGACGGUA